Molecule: long non-coding RNA, 2791 nt
Organism: Dalotia coriaria
Lineage: Eukaryota; Metazoa; Arthropoda; Insecta; Coleoptera; Staphylinidae
Exons: 3
Source: RefSeq, a predicted model, not a curated record
GCAACUCGCACACAAGGUCACGUGUCAUCGACGCGCCGGUUUUGCGCAUCUCUUGAUUUCUGAUCGGAAACUGUCGCGUCGUUUCGUGCUCGGCUGCGGCAUGCGCUAUCGAUAGUUUGCAGCCAGUUUUGUGCGGAUCGCUAGUUAAUCUAGGCGUGAUUUGACUGACUCGUAUUGUUUGUUCAGACUUCUGCUUUCAAAAUUUACAAAAUAUUUGAUCAUCAAUCGACUAUUUAAUUGUAACUACUAUAGUAAUGUUAUUUAUUAUUUGCGCGUUUAAUUUACAAAAGUGGUUGAUAUCGCGUUUCGUGUGCAUACUUGUCGGUCGCCAAAUGAAGUGGAUACAAAAUGGCUCCCAUGCAGAUUAAUUAAUUAUUAUCCUUGUCACUUGCUGUGCCUUGGUGACUGAUGCGCACAACAAUUGCAAUUACUUUCGAGUUGCGAUGCCCGAGUCCCGAGCUAAAUUAGAAUUCGAAUAUGAUUCUCUUCGUCGGUCGACUCCCGAUUUAAAAUAAAAUAAAUAUUGACACCCCUUCCCGCAUUUCCCCUUAACAAUGUAAUUUAUUUCACAGAUUUUAUCAUCUUCAACAAUAGUCCUGAGUGUUGCAACGAGUAAAAUACUGGUAUGUAGUAUGUGUAACUAAGUGUUUGUUUUGUACUUAUCCCCACGUGCUGGUAAUAUGUACGGCUUUUUAAUCAUUGAACGCGAGCUAGGCGUCUAGAGUUGUAGAAAUAAAUUCUCCGUCGGGUUGUAUUUGUUAGCGGUAGAAGUGACUCGGUUCAGGGUACCUUACAAGGCCAGCGGUAAACGUGACUCGUGUUCAGGGCACCGUAUGAACCCGGCGAUAAUUUGCAUGAAAAAAAUCACCCUUUUUCACGAAAUGUUAUUUUUUCGUGUUUGCGCGCGAUCUAGGCGGCUCACUAAUUUCAACGUGGCGUCUAUAGAUGCGGAAUUAAAUUCUCCGUCGGGAUGUAUUUGUUUGUUGCAGGAAUUCGACCUGCAACCCGCGAAAAUUUGCAUAAAAGUGUGAUUUUUGUCACCCUUUCUCGUGAAAUGUUUGUAUUUUUUCGUGUUUGCGCGCGAUCUAGGCGGCUCACUAUUGUCAGCGCGGCGUCUAGAGAUGCGGAAUUAAAUUCUUCGUCGGGUGGUAUUUGCUUGUUGCUGGAAUUCGUCCUGCCACUCGCAAAAAUUAGCAUAAAAGGGUGAUUCUUGUCACCCUUUCUCGUGAAAUGUUUGUAUUUUUUCGUGUUUGCGCGCGAUCUAGGCGGCUCACUAUCGUCAGCGCGGCGUCUGCAGAUGCGGAAUUAAAUUCUCCGUCGUUUUGUAUUUGUUUGUAGCAGGAAUUCGGCCUUCAACCCGCGAAAAUUUGCAUAUAAGGGUGAUUUUUGUCACUCUUUCUCGUGAAAUGUUUGUAUUUUUUCAUGUUUGCGCGCGAUCUAGGCGGCUCACAAUCAUCAGCGCGGCGUCUAUAGAUGCGGAGUUAAAUUCUUCGUCGGAUGGUAUUCGUUUGUUGCAGAAAUUCGGCCUGCAACCCGCAAAAAUUUGCAUAUAAGGGUGAUUUUUGUCACCCAUUCUCGUGAAAUGUUUGUAUUUUUUCGUGUUUGCGCGCGAUCUAGGCGGCUCACUAUCGUCAGCGCGGCGUCUACAGAUGCGGAAUUAAAUUCUUCGUCUGGUGGUAUUCGUUUGUUUCAGAAAUUCGGCCUGCAACCCGCGAAAGUUUGCAUAAAAGGGUGAUUUUUGUCACUCUUUCUCGUGAAAUGUUUGUAUUUUUCGUGUUUGCGCGCGAUCUAGGCGGCUCACAAUCGUCAGCGCGGCGUCUAUAGAUGCGGAAUUAAAUUCUUCGUCGGAUGGUAUUCGUUUGUUGCAGAAAUUCGGCCUGCAACCCGCAAAAAUUUGCAUAUAAGGGUGAUUUUUGUCACCCAUUCUCGUGAAAUGUUUGUAUUUUUUCGUGUUUGCGCGCGAUCUAGGCGGCUCACUAUAGUCAGCGCGGCGUCUACAGAUGCGGAAUUAAAUUCUUCGUCUGGUGGUAUUCGUUUGUUGCAGAAAUUCGGCCUGCAACCCGCGAAAAUUUGCAUAUAAGGGUGAUUUUUGUCACCCUUUCUCGUGAAAUGUUUGUAUUUUUUCGUGUUUGCGCGCGAUCUAGGCGGCUCACUAAUUUUAACGUGGCGUCUACAGAUGCGGAAUUAAAUUCUCCGUCGUUUUGUAUUUGUUUGUUGCAGGAAUUCGGCCUGCAACCCGCGAAAAUUUUCAUAAAAGGGUGAUUUUUGUCACCCUUUCUCGUGAAAUGUUUGUAUUUUUUCGUGUUUGCGCGCGAUCUAGGCGGCUCACUAUCGUGAGCGCGGCGUCUACAGAUGCGGAAUUAAAUUCUUCGUCGGGUGGUAUUUGUUUGUUGCUGGAAUUCGACCUGCAACCCGCGAUAAUUUGCAUAAAAGGGUGAUUUUUGUCACCCUUUCUCGUGAAAUGUUUGUAUUUUUUCGUGUUUGCGUGCGAUCUACGCGGCUCACUAUCGUCAGCGCGGCGUCUACAGAUGCGGAAUUAAAUUCUCCGUCGUUUUGUAUUUGUUUGUUGCAGGAAUUCGACCUGCAACACCUUGUAUAGUUGUUUCCAUUUUCCAUCAGCUAGAAAAUGAGCUGUUUGCUUAUUUCUGUAUCCCGGUAGGACAUUAUUACGUGGUAUUUGCUUACAUAUGCGUGGCUAUGCAUGUCGUAAGUCAACAUGGCGGCACGUAUUUGGUUGACUUAUAAAAUCUUAACAUGUAUUCUAUUGUUAAUAAAGAAACAGUAAAAUAUA